RNAcentral lists this ribosomal RNA (729 nucleotides) under uncultured bacterium. Its description in RNAcentral is "bacterial SSU rRNA". It matches the Rfam family "Bacterial small subunit ribosomal RNA", at positions 771 to 1501 of the family's 1533-position model. The record is from RNAcentral.
AACAGGAUUAGAUACCCUGGUAGUCCACGCCCUAAACUAUGUCAACUGGUUGUCGGAGGAGCAAUCCUUUGGUAACGAAGCUAACGCGUGAAGUUGACCGCCUGGGGAGUACGGCCGCAAGGUUAAAACUCAAAGGAAUUGACGGGGACCCGCACAAGCGGUGGAUUAUGUGGAUUAAUUCGAUGCAACGCGAAAAACCUUACCUACCCUUGACAUGUACGGAAUCUCGCAGAGAUGUGAGAGUGCUCGAAAGAGAACCGUAACACAGGUGCUGCAUGGCUGUCGUCAGCUCGUGUCGUGAGAUGUUGGGUUAAGUCCCGCAACGAGCGCAACCCUUGCCAUUAGUUGCUACAUUCAGUUGGGCACUCUAAUGGAACUGCCGGUGACAAACCGGAGGAAGGUGGGGAUGACGUCAAGUCCUCAUGGCCCUUAUGGGUAGGGCCUCACACGUAAUACAAUGGCAGGUACAGAGGGCAGCCAACCCGCGAGGGGGAGCUAAUCCCAGAAAGCCUGUCGUAGUCCGGAUUGUAGUCUGCAACUCGACUACAUGAAGCCGGAAUCGCUAGUAAUCGCGGAUCAGCAUGUCGCGGUGAAUACGUUCCCGGGUCUUGUACACACCGCCCGUCACACCAUGGGAGUGGGUUCCACCAGAAGUAGUUAGCCUAACCGCAAGGAGGGCGACUACCACGGUGAGAUUCAUGACUGGGGUGAAGUCGUAACAAGGUAACC